Molecule: ribosomal RNA, 275 nt
Filed under: uncultured bacterium
Lineage: Bacteria
Description: partial 16S ribosomal RNA
Rfam family: Bacterial small subunit ribosomal RNA
Source: RNAcentral
GCGUGAGUGAUGAAGGCCUUCGGGUUGUAAAGCUCUUUCGCGCACGACGAUAAUGACGGUAGUGCGAGAAGAAGCCCCGGCUAACUCCGUGCCAGCAGCCGCGGUAAUACGGAGGGGGCUAGCGUUGUUCGGAAUUACUGGGCGUAAAGGGCGCGUAGGCGGCCUUUCAAGUCAGGCGUGAAAGCCCUGGGCUUAACCUGGGAAUUGCGCUUGAUACUGGAGGGCUUGAAUUCAGGAGAGGAUGGUGGAAUUCCCAGUGUAGAGGUAAAAUUCGU